CCUACGGGAGGCAGCAGUGGGGGAUAUUGCACAAUGGGGGGAACCCUGAUGCAGCGACGCCGCGGGGGUGAAGGAGUAUUUCGGUAUGUAAAGGCCUAUCGGCAGGGAAGAAUUUAGACGGUACCUCUUGAAUAAGCCACGGCUAACUACGUGCCAGCAGCCGCGGUAAUACGUAGGUGGCAAGCGUUGUCCGGAUUUACUGGGUGUAAAGGGCGUGUAGCCGGGCUGACAAGUCAGAUGUGAAAUCCCGUGGCUCAACCACGGAACUGCAUUUGAAACUGUCGGUCUUGAGUAUCGGAGAGGCAGGCGGAAUUCCUAGUGUAGCGGUGAAAUGCGUAGUUAUUAGGAGGAACACCAGUGGCGAAGGCGGCCUGCUGGACGACAACUGACGGUGAGGCGCGAAAGCGUGGGGAGCAAACAGGAUUAGAUACCCUAGUAGUC
RNAcentral lists this ribosomal RNA (441 nucleotides) under uncultured bacterium. RNAcentral describes it as "partial 16S ribosomal RNA". It matches the Rfam family "Bacterial small subunit ribosomal RNA", at positions 338 to 795 of the family's 1533-position model. The record is from RNAcentral.